Molecule: RNA transcript, 1758 nt
Organism: Helianthus annuus (common sunflower)
Lineage: Eukaryota; Viridiplantae; Streptophyta; Magnoliopsida; Asterales; Asteraceae
Exons: 11
Source: RefSeq, a predicted model, not a curated record
AUUCAGAAACCCUAAUCUUUUCCAGCCUCCAUCUUCCUUCUUCCAUCAGUCAAACAAAUCAAAUGAAAUGGUAGUUUUUCUCAUCUUCAUCUUCUAACAAAUGGAUCGUAUUUGUCUUCUUUCUCACGCAGCAACAAAUGACAACCUAAUUUCUGCUGAACCCUAAAACCCACCAUCGCAAAUUUGCUUUGUCUGUUCUUGAUCAAUUCCUCUUUGAUAAUCGAAGAUAUACAUGUUCAUAAGACUAUGGUUGACUUUAAUUUUGGUUGGUUUUUUGUGGAGUUUAUUAUGAUUAGCGAAGUUGUAUAGAUAUUGAUCGAGACUUGUGUUGAUUUAGGAGAUGAAUUUGAUGAUUAUUGACUUCAGAUUUAGUCCUGAUGAAGAAACAUCAAUGGGAUUAGUUCAGCAAGAAGAAUACGUAUUUGGAUUGUCUUAAUUGGAUUCCAACAGAUCUGGCGGCGGUGUCGGUGGCUAUGACUCUGGGUGAUAUUCUGUUUAUGCGUACGAGCAAGGACCCGAUUCGCAUAGGAGAUAUUUUAUCGUUCACUGUUGAUGUGAGUUUCUUAAUUGAAUUCUUUCUUUUAGUCUUUCAUUUAGUUUAGUAUGUAAGCUUUUAUUGAAGUUAUUAAAGUAUAUUAAAAGUGCUUCGAUCAUCAACUUUGUUUGAAGAUAUUGUUUUGUCCUUUGUUGCAUAAACGUGUAUGACCGGACACGCUAACCAGCUCACACCAGGCCGCCCCAGGCCCAACGUGUGAGACGUAAAUCAGCCUCACUCAAUGGCAAGGCUAUUGGCGCUUAGGAUCGUAAUCGAACCCGCGACCUUUAGCUUUUGGUGCAAAUCUGACGCCCCCUUAACCAUGAUGAAAACGACAGUUGAAGGUUUAGAAGGAUUAGCUAACCAACUACCAUGUGUGAUGAAGUUUGGUGGAUCUUCGGUUGCAUCGGUAGAUAGAAUGAAAGAAGUAGCUGAGCUUAUCUUCAGCUUUCCAGAAGAGAAUCAUGUGAUAGUUUUGUCUGCUAUGGGCAAAACUACGAACAAGCUUAUAGCGGAUAGAGAAAACGCUGCAAGCUGUAUUUCGGAUGUGUCUGAAAUCGAUGAGUCGAGUUUUGUGAAAGAACUGCACUACAGGCUUGGUUUAGACAGAUCAAUCAUUAUAGGCAGGAAGACUAUUGAUUGAUAAAACAAUCCGUGAAGAGUUUACAUGUUUAAGGGCUUUCAAGAAGAGAGAUAAUGAGCUACAAGUUCGGGACGCUGACCUGUGAAAAAGAGAAAAGUUUAACAAAUUUUGUGUUGAACGUGUUGAGCUCAAGCUUUGGAUGUAAGAUGAUAACGAAUUGGAUUAUGAUUCUGAUAAUAGUUUCAUCGCUGUUUGUGGAUUUUGAAUUUACGAUCACGGUCUUCCAGAUUCGUACUCUAAUUCGCAUUGAACCACUCAUGGCCUUCUGCCGUUCUACUCAGAAUCGUCACACAUUUGAGAAGCCAGUUAAAUGUUCUUCGGACAAACAGAGGAAUUUAUGUAAUGUACUUUAUUUGCAUUACUUUUAUUUAUACACUUAUGAUUAAUGUAAUUUAAGUUUGAGUGUUAGUAAUUAGCAGCUUUGAACUAGGGAAAUUAUAAUCUUUUUCCAUUCAUAUAUGUUAAUUCCUUUUGUAUUUCACCUCUUUUCACAAUACACUAGAGAUAGACGGUAGAAUAAUGAAAGGAAUGUGAGUGUUACAAUGCUACAAACUUGAAAAAUUAAUACAGAGGAUUGAAA